GACUACGGCCAUGCCACCCUGAACGUGCCCAAUCUCAUCUGAUCGCAGAAGCUAAGCAGUGUCAAGCCUGGUUAAUACUUGGAUGGGAGACCACUUCGGAAUACCAGGUGCUAUAGGCG
This 119-nucleotide ribosomal RNA is filed under the name Pteropus alecto (black flying fox). Lineage: Eukaryota; Metazoa; Chordata; Mammalia; Chiroptera; Pteropodidae. The record is from RNAcentral.